This 507-nucleotide ribosomal RNA is filed under the name uncultured bacterium. Its description in RNAcentral is "partial 16S ribosomal RNA". It matches the Rfam family "Bacterial small subunit ribosomal RNA", at positions 28 to 507 of the family's 1533-position model. The record is from RNAcentral.
GACGAACGCUGGCGGCGUGCCUAAUACAUGCAAGUCGAACGCAUUUUCUUUCACCGUAGCUUGCUACACCGAAAGAAAAUGAGUGGCGAACGGGUGAGUAACACGUGUGUAACCUGCCCAUCAGCGGGGGAUAACACUUGGAAACAGGUGCUAAUACCGCAUAAUUCCAUUUACUGCAUGGUAGAUGGAUGAAAGGCGCUUUUGCGUCCCUGAUGGAUGGACCCGCGGUGCAUUAGCUAGUUGGUGGGGUAACGGCCUACGAAGGCUGCGAUGCAUAGCCGACCGGGGAAGGUGAUCGGCCAAACUGGGACUGAGACACGGCACAGAAUCAUACGGGAGGCAGCAGUAGGGAAUCAUCGGCAAUGGACGCAAGUCUGACCGAGCAAAGCCGCGUGAGUGAAGAAGGGUGUCGGAUCGUAAAACUCUGUUGUUAGAAAAGAAAAAGGAUGAGAGUGGAAAGUUCAUCCCUUGACGGUAUCUAACCAGAAAGCCACGGCUAACUACGUG